ACUGCGAUAGAUCAGCUAGUAGAGCAUCUGCCCGGUAUGCGGAGGGUCGCCGGUUCGAUUCCGGCUCGCGGCG
This 73-nucleotide transfer RNA is filed under the name Fasciola gigantica. It matches the Rfam family "tRNA". Rfam says of the family: Transfer RNA (tRNA) molecules are approximately 80 nucleotides in length. The record is from Rfam by way of RNAcentral. Lineage: Eukaryota; Metazoa; Platyhelminthes; Trematoda; Plagiorchiida; Fasciolidae.